UACGUAGGGUGCGAGCGUUAAUCGGAAUUACUGGGCGUAAAGUGUGCGCAGGCGGCCGCGCAAGUCGAGUGUGAAAUCCCCGAGCUUAACUUGGGAAUUGCGCUCGAAACUACGUGGCUGGAGUGUGGCAGAGGAAGGUGGAAUUCCACGUGUAGCGGUGAAAUGCGUAGAGAUGUGGAGGAACACCGAUGGCGAAGGCAGCCCCCUGGGCUAACACUGACGCUCAUGCACGAAAGCGUGGGGAGCAAACAGG
RNAcentral lists this ribosomal RNA (253 nucleotides) under uncultured bacterium. RNAcentral describes it as "partial 16S ribosomal RNA". It matches the Rfam family "Bacterial small subunit ribosomal RNA", at positions 524 to 776 of the family's 1533-position model. The record is from RNAcentral.